GACGAACGCUGGCGGCGUGCCUAAUACAUGCAAGUUGAGCGCUGAAGGUUGGUACUUGUACCAACUGGAUGAGCAGCGAACGGGUGAGUAACGCGUGGGGAAUCUGCCUUUGAGCGGGGGACAACAUUUGGAAACGAAUGCUAAUACCGCAUAAAAACUUUAAACACAAGUUUUAAGUUUGAAAGAUGCAAUUGCAUCACUCAAAGAUGAUCCCGCGUUGUAUUAGCUAGUUGGUGAGGUAAAGGCUCACCAAGGCGAUGAUACAUAGCCGACCUGAGAGGGUGAUCGGCCACAUUGGGACUGAGACACGGCCCAAACUCCUACGGGAGGCAGCAGUAGGGAAUCUUCGGCAAUGGACGAAAGUCUGACCGAGCAACGCCGCGUGAGUGAAGAAGGUUUUCGGAUCGUAAAACUCUGUUGGUAGAGAAGAACGUUGGUGAGAGUGGAAAGCUCAUCAAGUGACGGUAACUACCAGAAAGGGACGGCUAACUACGUG
This 496-nucleotide ribosomal RNA is filed under the name uncultured bacterium. RNAcentral's name for it is "partial 16S ribosomal RNA". It matches the Rfam family "Bacterial small subunit ribosomal RNA", at positions 28 to 507 of the family's 1533-position model. The record is from RNAcentral.